RNAcentral lists this ribosomal RNA (460 nucleotides) under uncultured bacterium. Its description in RNAcentral is "partial 16S ribosomal RNA". It matches the Rfam family "Bacterial small subunit ribosomal RNA", at positions 338 to 795 of the family's 1533-position model. The record is from RNAcentral.
CCUACGGGAGGCAGCAGUGAGGAAUAUUGGUCAAUGGGCGCGAGCCUGAACCAGCCAAGUCGCGUGAGGGAAGACGGUCCUAUGGAUUGUAAACCUCUUUUGUCGGGGAGCAAAAGACGCCACGCGUGGCGUUCCGAGAGUACCCGAAGAAAAAGCAUCGGCUAACUCCGUGCCAGCAGCCGCGGUAAUACGGAGGAUGCGAGCGUUAUCCGGAUGUAUUGGGUUUAAAGGGAGCGUAGGCCGCAUGUCAAGCGUGCUGUGAAAUGUCCGGGCUCAACCCGGGCCUUGCAGCGCGAACUGGCGUGCUUGAGUCCGCGGAAAGCAGGCGGAAUUCGUCGUGUAGCGGUGAAAUGCUUAGAUAUGACGAAGAACCCCGAUUGCGAAGGCAGCAUACCGGCGCGCAACUGACGCUCAUGCACGAAAGCGUGGGUAUCGAACAGGAUUAGAUACCCGGGUAGUC